RNAcentral lists this ribosomal RNA (498 nucleotides) under Nosema kovacevici. RNAcentral describes it as "eukaryotic LSU rRNA". It matches the Rfam family "Archaeal large subunit ribosomal RNA", at positions 1 to 665 of the family's 2987-position model. Lineage: Eukaryota; Fungi; Microsporidia; Nosematidae. The record is from RNAcentral.
GAACCAUUAGCAGGAUCAUAAUGAAUAAAAAAAUAUUUUGUAGAUUAGAUUAUUUUUGCCCACACAUGGGAUCAAUAGGAUACCAUAACGAUGAAGGUCGUAAUAGAAUACGAAAGAGUAUUUACCGAAUUAAUAUAUUUAUAUAUUGAUAACCCUUUGAACUUAAGCAUAUCAUUAAAAGGAGGAAAAGAAACUAACUAGGAUUUCUUUAGUAGCGGCGAGUGAACAAGAAUCAACCCUUGAUUGUAAUCCUUAACUGGAGAUGUAAAUCAUUUAUUCUAUUAUUUAUAUCAUAGAGAAUUUUAUAUUCGUUACUUGAUAGAAUAGAAUAAUUUCUUUGAGUAGGGCUGCUUGGUAGUGCAGUUUGAAUACAGGUAGAAUGAGAUAUCUAAGGUUAAAUAUAAUUGUAUACCGAUAGCAAAUAAGUACUGCGAAGGAAUUUGUGAAAAUGUGUGGGUGUUAGCCUUAUUUUUAAGGACCCGUCUUGAAACACGGACC